GAUGAACGCUGGCGGCGUGCCUAAUACAUGCAAGUCGAGCGAACAGACGAGGAGCUUGCUCCUCUGACGUUAGCGGCGGACGGGUGAGUAACACGUGGAUAACCUACCUAUAAGACUGGGAUAACUUCGGGAAACCGGAGCUAAUACCGGAUAAUAUAUUGAACCGCAUGGUUCAAUAGUGAAAGACGGUUUUGCUGUCACUUAUAGAUGGAUCCGCGCCGCAUUAGCUAGUUGGUAAGGUAACGGCUUACCAAGGCAACGAUGCGUAGCCGACCUGAGAGGAUGAUCGGCCACACUGGAACUGAGACACGGUCCAGACUCCUACGAGAGGCAGCAGUAGGGAAUCUUCCGCAAUGGGCGAAAGCCUGACGGAGCAACGCCGCGUGAGUGAUGAAGGUCUUCGGAUCGUAAAACUCUGUUAUUAGGGAAGAACAAAUGUGUAAGUAACUAUGCACGUCUUGACGGUACCUAAUCAGAAAGCCACGACUAACUACGUG
This 497-nucleotide ribosomal RNA is filed under the name uncultured bacterium. RNAcentral's name for it is "partial 16S ribosomal RNA". It matches the Rfam family "Bacterial small subunit ribosomal RNA", at positions 28 to 507 of the family's 1533-position model. The record is from RNAcentral.